This 1034-nucleotide long non-coding RNA is filed under the name Mytilus galloprovincialis (Mediterranean mussel). Lineage: Eukaryota; Metazoa; Mollusca; Bivalvia; Mytilida; Mytilidae. The record is from RNAcentral.
UAUCUUUCUUCAAUUUGUCAGGUUUUUUUUUUAAUAAGAUCAGUUUUUCAUUGCUAUUGAUCUGUCCAUGUGUAUGUUCAAAUUUUUAAAGUAUGGGUUCUAUUUGAGUACAGGUAACUUUGGCUUGUGAUUGUUAAAUGUAAUAACACACUGCCAUAUAAACUGUAAUUAUUUUAAACUUUGAUAGAAAAGAAAGUAAAAAUUGAAAAUCUCUCUCUCUCUAUAUAUAGCAUACUGUCAACCAACUUAUAUACAUCAGAUAUUCAAGUUAAAAAUUUAGUGAAUAUAAAUCAUCACAAAGAUGUCUAAAUUUGAUCUUUCCUUACAUCAAGAAAAUUAUAAAAAUAAUAUCGAAGUUGGACAGGAAAGUCUCAACACAAAAAUACAUAUCUAUGAAAAUAAGAUGGUUUGCAGUAUAAGAAUUUGUGAUACACAUAUAUACAUUUAUAUUAAGAUACACAUAAAUGUUGUAUGUAUCAAGAAUAAUUGUUAUAGAAUCUCUGUGAAGUUAUUGGCUCUCAAAAGUAUGGAGCCAACUAUUUUUGAAAUUAGUAUAAUAUGAGAACACUCCACUGAAGUACAGUCAUUGUAGAUGUGGAUUGUAUCUAUCAAAAAUAUAUGGGCAAUAUUGUUAAAGACUUUAAAAUAAGAAAAUAUAAACCUUGUUUUAGGUUAACCAAAAAAUAGCAAAAGAAAAAAAAAACAGAGUUUUUAUUUAUUAAACUAUAGAAAUAUUCAUCGAAAUGAGUGAGGUAACCAACUUUUUUUAGGGGGUGGGGGUGGGAGAGAAAGAAGGGUAAGGGGAGAUAAUUUACAAAUUCUGGUUACAAAUGUUUAAAAAAUGAAAACUUUAUUUAGCUUUGGAUUGAUAGACAGGGUGUAAAGUUGGAACAUUGAAGUAGAUUCUUUUGUGUGCAAUUGGAAAUAAAAUGUCUGUUCUCUUUAAUAAAUUUUUCUUUAUGGGAAUUGGAUAAUACAUGUAUUAUUUCUACAACAUAUCAUAAUACAGUUGUAAUAAAGUAAUUAACUCUGAU